This 566-nucleotide ribosomal RNA is filed under the name uncultured bacterium. RNAcentral's name for it is "partial 16S ribosomal RNA". It matches the Rfam family "Bacterial small subunit ribosomal RNA", at positions 355 to 914 of the family's 1533-position model. The record is from RNAcentral.
UGGGGAAUUUUGGACAAUGGGCGAAAGCCUGAUCCAGCAAUGCCGCGUGUGUGAAGAAGGCCUUCGGGUUGUAAAGCACUUUUGUCCGGAAAGAAAUCCUUGGCUCUAAUACAGUCGGGGGAUGACGGUACCGGAAGAAUAAGCACCGGCUAACUACGUGCCAGCAGCCGCGGUAAUACGUAGGGUGCAAGCGUUAAUCGGAAUUACUGGGCGUAAAGCGUGCGCAGGCGGUUUGCUAAGACCGAUGUGAAAUCCCCGGGCUCAACCUGGGAACUGCAUUGGUGACUGGCAGGCUAGAGUAUGGCAGAGGGGGGUAGAAUUCCACGUGUAGCAGUGAGAUGCGUAGAGAUGUGGAGGAAUACCGAUGGCGAAGGCAGCCCCCUGGGCCAAUACUGACGCUCAUGCACGAAAGCGUGGGGAGCAAACAGGAUUAGAUACCCUGGUAGUCCACGCCCUAAACGAUGUCAACUAGUUGUUGGGGAUUCAUUUCCUUAGUAACGUAGCUAACGCGUGAAGUUGACCGCCUGGGGAGUACGGUCGCAAGAUUAAAACUCAAAGGAAUUGAC